RNAcentral lists this long non-coding RNA (203 nucleotides) under Musa acuminata (dwarf banana). Its description in RNAcentral is "long non-coding RNA (MACU_LNC001498)". The record is from RNAcentral. Lineage: Eukaryota; Viridiplantae; Streptophyta; Magnoliopsida; Zingiberales; Musaceae.
AAGCAACCAUCUAAUUAUUUGCUCCGUUGCAGCAACAUACAAGUCACAGUUCAUUUCUAGUUUCUGUUCAACUCUAUCAAGAAAGAAAGGUCAGAAUACACAAAAUGCAAGUUCCUGAAACUAUACUUUGUGUUGUUAUACAUGAAGUGGUAGACACUACGGUUCAUAUGACCUCUUACGAUUAAGAGAAAUCAUUGGAAGUA